RNAcentral lists this long non-coding RNA (310 nucleotides) under Erythranthe guttata (spotted monkey flower). RNAcentral describes it as "long non-coding RNA (EGUT_LNC002177)". Lineage: Eukaryota; Viridiplantae; Streptophyta; Magnoliopsida; Lamiales; Phrymaceae. The record is from RNAcentral.
UUUGCACAACUUAUAUGCACCAAGUUUUUGCCGAGAGGACAUGGUGUUCUUCAAUUCGAAACAACUCUUUUGCAUUCGAUAGAUCGGAGCUGUUGUCGGGUUGAAAUGUGGGAUUUGAAGAUAUAAAUCCAAAUUACACUAUAUACGACUAUAGUUAGUCAUAUGUAGGUAUAUAUAGUCACAUAUGGUCAUAUACAUGUAGUCAUAUGUAGUUAUAUAUAGUCACAUAUGGUCAUAUACAUGUAGUCAUAUGUAGUUAUAUAUAGUCACAUAUGGUCAUAUACAUGUAGUCAUAUGUAGUCAUAUAUAG